Molecule: transfer RNA, 80 nt
Filed under: Fidelibacterota bacterium
Lineage: Bacteria; Pseudomonadati; Fidelibacterota
Description: Candidatus Marinimicrobia bacterium tRNA-Ala
Source: RNAcentral
GCUACCGUUAAACUAUUCUCAGUUGGGAGAGCGCUUGAAUGGCAUUCAAGAGGUCGUCAGUUCGAUCCUGAUCAGCUCCA